Molecule: ribosomal RNA, 915 nt
Filed under: uncultured archaeon
Lineage: Archaea
Description: bacterial SSU rRNA
Rfam family: Archaeal small subunit ribosomal RNA
Source: RNAcentral
UUCCGGUUAGAUCCUGCCGGAGGCGACCGCUAUUGGAGUUCGAUUAAGCCAUGCGAGUAGAAAGAAAUUAGAUUCUUUGCAUACUGCUCAGUAACACGUGGAUAACCUGCCCUACACUGGGGGAUAAUCUUGGGAAACUGAGAAUAAUACCCCAUAGACCACUACGCCUGGAACGGUGAGUGGUUGAAAGCUCAGGCGGUGUAGGAUGGGUCUGCGGCGUAUCAGGUCGUAGGGGGUGUAAUGGACCUCCUAGCCAUCGACGCGUACGGGUUGUGGGAGCAAUAGCCCGGAGACGGAUUCUGAGACACGAAUCCGGACCCUACGGGGUGCAGCAGGCGCGAAAACUUCGCACUGCAGGAAACUGUGAUGAGGGAACUCCAAGUGACUGCACAAUGUGUAGCCUUUUCUUGAAUUUUAAUUGUUCUUGGAAUAAGGGCUGGGAAAGACCGGUGCCAGCCGCCGCGGUAAUACCGGCAGCUCAAGUGGUCGUCGCUUUUAUUGGGCCUAAAACGUCCGUAGCCUGUUUGGUAAAUCUGUGGGUAAAUCAAUCCGCUCAACGGAUUGAAUUCUGCAGAGACUGCCAGACUAGGGACCGGGAGAGGUGUGGGGUACUCGAGGGGCAGGGGUAAAAUCCUGUCAUCCUUCGAGGACCACCAGUUGCGAAGGCGCCACACUGGAACGGAUCCGACGGUCAGGGACGAAGCCUAGGGGCACGAACCGGAUUAGGUACCCGGGUAGUCCUAGGUGUAAACGCUGUGAACUUGGUGUCGGGGGUCCGCAAGGGGUCCCCGGUGCCGGAGUGAAGAUGUUAAGUUCACUGCCUGGGGAGUACGGUCGCAAGGCUGAAACUUAAAGGAAUUGGCGGGGGAGCACUGCAACGGGAGGAGCGUGCGGUUUAAUUGGAUCAACGCCGGA